This 31-nucleotide non-coding RNA is filed under the name Mus musculus (house mouse). The record is from RNAcentral. Lineage: Eukaryota; Metazoa; Chordata; Mammalia; Rodentia; Muridae.
UAAAGAAGUUAAUUUUUUAUUUUUUAAAAAG